This 531-nucleotide long non-coding RNA is filed under the name Pongo abelii (Sumatran orangutan). RNAcentral describes it as "lincRNA". Lineage: Eukaryota; Metazoa; Chordata; Mammalia; Primates; Hominidae. The record is from RNAcentral.
ACUGGAGAGAAAACACAGAAGUUGGUGGUCUUUGCAGCAGCGAGGAGUGCGACUCCUCCUCUUCCUGUGUGGAACCUGGAAUUCAAACGGCUGGCCUUUAAUAAUUAAGUAAGGUAUACUCCUGUGAUCAAGACUUUGAGCAUAUUUGUUUCUCUCUGCCUGGUUCCUCUAGAAAUUGGAAACUAUCAGAACACAGACAAACUCCAUUUCCCAAUCCCUUUGCAAUCUGCAUUGAACCAUGAAUCAAGUUCUUGAUAAAGGAGUGAAAAUGGAUGACAUUUAAGGCACAUCUGAAGAUGGGGAAACCACAGCACAGAAAAAGGCUGGGCCCUUGAAUCAAUAAAUGAGGGAGAACUACUCAAGAGAACAAAACCACCAGCAAUAUCCACCUGUAUUUGUCUUUUCAUAAUGUGUGACACAUGUGCUCAUGGAUUAUUGUCCAAAUCAAGUCAUGUGACCAAGCCUAACAUCAACUGGGUGAAGAGCUAUAUGUUCCUUUCUCAAGAGGCACUACAAGUGACAUGCCAAUGG